RNAcentral lists this ribosomal RNA (253 nucleotides) under uncultured bacterium. RNAcentral's name for it is "partial 16S ribosomal RNA". It matches the Rfam family "Bacterial small subunit ribosomal RNA", at positions 524 to 776 of the family's 1533-position model. The record is from RNAcentral.
UACGAAGGGGGCUAGCGUUGCUCGGAAUUACUGGGCGUAAAGCCCACGUAGGCGGAUUGUUAAGUCGGAGGUGAAAUCCUGGAGCUCAACUCCAGAACUGCCUUCGAUACUGGCGAUCUCGAGUUCGGGAGAGGUGAGUGGAACUGCGAGUGUAGAGGUGAAAUUCGUAGAUAUUCGCAAGAACACCAGUGGCGAAGGCGGCUCACUGGCCCGAUACUGACGCUGAGGUGCGAAAGCGUGGGGAGCAAACAGG